RNAcentral lists this ribosomal RNA (253 nucleotides) under uncultured bacterium. RNAcentral's name for it is "partial 16S ribosomal RNA". It matches the Rfam family "Bacterial small subunit ribosomal RNA", at positions 524 to 776 of the family's 1533-position model. The record is from RNAcentral.
UACGAAGGGGGCUAGCGUUGCUCGGAAUCACUGGGCGUAAAGGGCGCGUAGGCGGGACGCCAAGUCGGUCGUGAAAUCUCCGGGCUCAACCCGGAGGAGUCGGCCGAAACUGGUGUUCUUGAGGGAGGCAGAGGAGUCUGGAAUUCCCGGUGUAGCGGUGAAAUGUGUAGAGAUCGGGAGGAACACCGGUGGCGAAGGCGGGACUCUGGGCCUACCCUGACGCUGAGGCGCGAAGGCGUGGGGAGCAAACGGG